GACGAACGCUGGCGGCGUGCCUAAAACAUGCAAGUCGAACGGUGUAGCAAUACACAGUGGCGAACGGCGGAGUAAUACAUGAACAACGUGCCCGGAAGACUGGGAUAGUCAGGGGAAACCCUGGGUAAUACCAGAUGUGGCCGUCUCUUGGCAUCUAGAGACGAUUAAAGGGUUUUUCGCUUCCGGAGCGGUUCAUGGCCUAUCAGGUAGUUGGUGAGGUAAUGGCUCACCAAGCCGACGACGGGUAGCGGUCUGAGAGGAUGAUCCGCUCGAGUGGGACUGAGACACGGCCCACACACCUACGGGUGGCAGCAGUUGGGAAUCUUGCACAAGUGGGGGAAACCCUGAUGCAGCGACGCCGCGUGGAGGAUGAAGGAUCUAGGUCU
This 386-nucleotide ribosomal RNA is filed under the name uncultured bacterium. RNAcentral describes it as "bacterial SSU rRNA". It matches the Rfam family "Bacterial small subunit ribosomal RNA", at positions 28 to 424 of the family's 1533-position model. The record is from RNAcentral.